Long non-coding RNA from Helianthus annuus (common sunflower), 1055 nucleotides. RefSeq lists it as uncharacterized. The record is from RefSeq and is a predicted model, not a curated record. The transcript has 4 exons. NCBI's taxonomy places the organism in Eukaryota, Viridiplantae, Streptophyta, Magnoliopsida, Asterales, Asteraceae.
GGUUAAUGCGGGAUCCGUUUCCUUUAAUUUUGACCCGACUUCAUUUGUACGACAUCUGCGUUUCUUUUCCAAAACCCUAGAGAGCCUCCAUCUCCAUCUCCAUCAUCAUUCUCCAUCUCCAUUCCAAGCAACUGAUCAUCUCUUCACAUGUCCAUAUUUAUGCGUGGAUCAUAAUCAUAUCGCCUCUUCUUCCUACGUCUCAUUUUCUCUAAAAUCUAAAUCUUCAUCAUCGCUUAAUCGUCGUUACCACCACAAACUUGGAUUAUCUUCUUAUUUUUGGUGUUGCAGACAACCGAAAUAAGCCCUAAGUUAAGGUUGGUGAAAUCAUGGUAGAUUUGAGAAGAAAGGCUUCUCUUUGGUUAUGUGUUUCGUUUCGCUACAAUUCAAGCCCCAACAGAUGGCUCUGGAGCUGCAUAUCUUACUGCAAGGUCCUUAAAUAUGAAUUUUAUUUCAUAUCAAAAUAAAGUGCAGGAGUUCUACAAACCACCAUUGGAUUGCGUGGGUCUGGAUUACCGCUUCGAAAGUUAAAGGUGGAACGGUCAUUGGAUCUCUUCAGGCUAUGAAUCGUGUGCUCCUUGCAAAAUGGUGGUGGGGAUCAAGAACGGAGAAAGGUCGUUUGUGGCAGGAAGUCAUUGCAGCUGUACAUCAUAACAUCAGACUUCAUAUGAGAAUGUUGUAUACAGCUACGACAUGCGAGCCAAUGCCUACAACAAAGGAAUCCUUCAGAUUUUUGGGGAGAUAUUUUGCACUAGAAUCCCUGCAACAAAAAACAAGUAUUAGAGCAUAUGUCCCAAAAGUACCAGGGAUCGGAGGACUCGACUUUGGAGAUAGGAGUGACGUUUGUGUCAGGUCGGGUCGUGUCAGACUGUUGUGUGGUGAACUCAUGUUCAUUAGUUUGGUUUGGGCUGCUGUUGAAAGACGAUAAAAUACCCAGCUUUAUGCAAUUUUUGAUGCGUUAAAACAACAGUUCUAUAUCAUUUAAAUGCUUCAUUUUAUUAUUGUAAAAAAAGCAUUCUCAUUUCUUUCAAAUGCUGUAAAGAUAAAUGUGUACUUUA